CUCGCAUUUCCCAUCUCAUCUCUCGCUCGCUCGCUCGCUCGCCGCUACGCCUCACGAUUCCGACGACUCCGACGCCGGUAGGGUCAUAACACCCUCCUAGACGCCGGCGACGACGAGGGUGGUUGGGUUGUGGAUAGCGGCUGCGACGACGAGGGCGCUCUCCUGACCGCCGGCGUGGGGUGCCCCAGCUCCACCACCGGCGACGACUCCUCCUCCGCCGCGAGCGCUCCCCCAGCCUGCUUCUUUUGCGGGGGUAGCCGGGGCUCCGGCCUCGGCGGCUUUCAAAGCCCCCUUCCUCACAACAGGAUCCAAAAUCCCGUCCUAGAGUUCUUCUACCUCCCCUUCCAAAACUUCCUCUUUUGGCAUCCUUGAUUCAAUUUCCCUUCCCUUUCUUUCUUUCUUUCUUUCUUUCUUUCGAUUUCUUCUUCUUGCUUUAGAUUUCUUAUCCUUCUUCUUGUUGCUAAUCUCGAUCGAUCCAUCUAUCCAUCCAAACAACCUCAUUCUUUUUUCCUUUGAUUUGAUUCUUCGCUGCUAACGCCACCGAAACAGACAACAGAUUUACAGCAAAAG
This 570-nucleotide small RNA is filed under the name Oryza sativa Japonica Group (Japanese rice). RNAcentral's name for it is "Os06g0131400". Lineage: Eukaryota; Viridiplantae; Streptophyta; Magnoliopsida; Poales; Poaceae. The record is from RNAcentral.